GUAGGGAAUUUUCCACAAUGGACGAAAGUCUGAUGGAGCAACGCCGCGUGCAGGAUGAAUGUCUUCGGAUUGUAAACUGCUUUUAUAUGUGACGAAUAUGACGGUAGCAUAUGAAUAAGGAUCGGCUAACUCCGUGCCAGCAGCCGCGGUCAUACGGAGGAUCCAAGCGUUAUCCGGAAUUACUGGGCGUAAAGAGUUGCGUAGGUGGCAUAGUAAGUCGGUAGUGAAAGCGUGGGGCUCAACCCCAUACACAUUAUCGAAACUGCUAAGCUAGAGGAUGAGAGAGGUUAUUGGAAUUCCCAGUGUAGGAGUGAAAUCCGUAGAUAUUGGGAGGAACACCGAUGGCGUAGGCAGAUAACUGGCUCAUUCCUGACACUAAGGCACGAAAGCGUGGGGAGCAA
Molecule: ribosomal RNA, 401 nt
Filed under: uncultured soil bacterium
Lineage: Bacteria
Description: bacterial SSU rRNA
Rfam family: Bacterial small subunit ribosomal RNA
Source: RNAcentral